RNAcentral lists this ribosomal RNA (340 nucleotides) under Lachnospiraceae bacterium oral taxon 082. Its description in RNAcentral is "bacterial SSU rRNA". It matches the Rfam family "Bacterial small subunit ribosomal RNA", at positions 139 to 499 of the family's 1533-position model. The record is from RNAcentral. Lineage: Bacteria; Bacillati; Bacillota; Clostridia; Lachnospirales; Lachnospiraceae.
GGGGAUAACGGAGAGAAAUUUCCGCUAAGACCGCAUAAGACCACAGCACCGCAUGGUGCAGGGGUAAAUAUUUAUAGGUAUAAGAUGGAUCCGCGUCCGAUUAGCUGGUUGGUGAGGUAGAGGCUCACCAAGGCGACGAUCGGUAGCCGGCCUGAGAGGGUGAACGGCCACAUUGGGACUGAGACACGGCCCAAACUCCUACGGGAGGCAGCAGUGGGGAAUAUUGGACAAUGGGGGAAACCCUGAUCCAGCGACGCCGCGUGAGUGAAGAAGUAUUUCGGUAUGUAAAGCUCUAUCAGCAGGGAAGAAAAUGACGGUACCUGACUAAGAAGCCCGGCUA